RNAcentral lists this ribosomal RNA (311 nucleotides) under Bacillus sp. (in: firmicutes). RNAcentral's name for it is "Bacillus sp. (in: Bacteria) partial 16S ribosomal RNA". It matches the Rfam family "Bacterial small subunit ribosomal RNA", at positions 1134 to 1444 of the family's 1533-position model. Lineage: Bacteria; Bacillati; Bacillota; Bacilli; Caryophanales; Bacillaceae. The record is from RNAcentral.
GGCACUCUAANGUGACUGCCGGUGNCAAACCNGANGAAGGUGGGGANGACGUCAAAUCAUCAUGCCCCUNAUGACCUGGGCUACACACGUGCUACAAUGGACAGAACAAAGGGCUGCGAGACCGCAAGGUUUAGCCAAUCCCACAAAUCUGUUCUCAGUUCGGAUCGCAGUCUGCAACUCGACUGCGUGAAGCUGGAAUCGCUAGUAAUCGCGGAUCAGCAUGCCGCGGUGAAUACGUUCCCGGGCCUUGUACACACCGCCCGUCACACCACGAGNGUUUGCAACACCCGAAGUCGGUGAGGUAACCUUUA